RNAcentral lists this long non-coding RNA (26225 nucleotides) under Brassica napus (rape). RNAcentral's name for it is "long non-coding RNA (BNAP_LNC010574)". The record is from RNAcentral. Lineage: Eukaryota; Viridiplantae; Streptophyta; Magnoliopsida; Brassicales; Brassicaceae.
UGAUGGAUCAAGUCUGGUUUUGGAGUUUAGUAAGUUAAGGGUUUUAUAAAAAGCUGAGUCGAGUUGGUUACAAGACGAGGGGGAGAUAGUGGAGUUAAGUGCUAGUGGUUGGUUAUGGACUUAUGUUAUGCCAAUGCAACAAGCGGGAACAGAAGAGGAUCACACACUCUGAAUCAGUUAGAGUAUUUGUCCUGUCCGGUUAAAGCCUGGUUCAGUUUUGGUUUAUGGUUAACAAACUCAGAUACUUGUAUAUGAAGGUGUAUGCAAGUACUCUUGCUAUUGCACAAAUGUUCGAUACACCACCCAACACAAAUCAGUUUUACAUGGAAGUAAAGGAUUAAAAUCUUUGCAAGUUUUUUUAUUUUAUAUAAAAAGUUGCUACCAAAACAAAUGCAUUGCUUUCCAAAAUUUUAAAUGUGAUAACUAUAAUGAUAUUUUAAAUUGCUUCCCUAUCAUUCAGCGGAAACAUAAUUAGAAGUUUCCACAUGACAGAAAUGCAUAAUGCAUUGAAGACCAUGCUUUAGGUUGGGUACAAAGGAUAUAUGUUCCUUAGUAAAAUUCCAAUAAAUAUGUCUGACCCAUGAACAUAGACAUAUAAAUAGUACAUCCAGAAAAUGUUCCACAAACACAUUAUUGUGUGCAUAUAGAUAAAUGUUACAUAUACUCAAUAAUUUUAUGUGAUUCGAUCAAUUUUGUUAGAGUAGAAAUACAAAUGUGGAUUCACCAUAUCUCAACUACCGUCUUCUAGCUACUACACCAUGUUGCUAUGUCAUGUCCAUUGAUAAUCAGAUACUUAAUCAUGAUCACAUACAUACAUGUGUAUGGUUUGGUUAGUAUAUUGAAGAUCUACAAUAUAAUAACGUAACGUACAAAGAGGCGGUGAUCUGGUGGUUAACGUAAAUUUGAGUUAAGAUUUUGAUUCUACUUUCAUGCAACACAAGAAACUGGAUGCAACCCGGUUGUGAAUUUCGGUUCAUGAUUCAUAAGAUUCCGCGACCUCAUGCAACAGUGGCUCACGUAUGAGUAAAGUAUCUCGUGGAAAUGGAAAUUAAUGGCGUAGACAUUGCCGGUCCUGGACAAAGCCGGAUGAAACAUUCGCGUAGGACCCUCAAUUUUUUUGAAAAAAUUACAUAUACAUAGGUCUCCAAAUCUUUUUAAAAAGUCCCCCAAAUUUUUUUAAAAAAACCUCCAAAUUUUUUUAAAAAAAAAUUUCAAUGAAAUCUUUCUAAAAAUCGCCUAAGGCCUCCAAAAUUUUAAGACCGGCCCUGGUUUUUUAUUUUUUUUUGCCGACGUUAAUUCUAGAUAGCUUUAACUUAUUGUAAUCACUUACAAUCCUGUAUCAUUUUAUUUUAUAUGAAAUUCACAAUUUGGCGCACAGAAAAAAAUUGCCGUAAAUUAAAAUCAUCUCGUUGGUUAAUAUUAAUCAGGACAAAAUUAUUUAAAAUUUUGCUUGCAGUAUAUAAUGAUUGAUGAUAUAUAUUCCCACUAAUAACUGUUACCAAUUACAUAAUCAGAUUGGGGAAAUCUUAUGUAGUUAUAAGCUGAGUUGUUUGAUCUCUUAUAAGAAAUAUCUUGUUCAAGAUUUUAUUUUAGAUUCAUCAUAUUUAUAUACAAACUCACACAAUGAUAUUUUCUUAUAAUUAACCUUGAACUCAUCAGUAAGCUAUUGUUUAUAAUUUGGUAAUUUGUCGUUAUUUCAAAAGGCUUUUUUUCUUGCAUUAUUAAUUUUCCUAAAUACCCUACCACAUGGCGAUCGUUACACCAAAAUUCAAGUUCACCCAAGAAACGUAAUCAUUUUGAUUGCGAUUAAAGAACAAAUUACACUAAUGUCCGUUCUACUUGAUUAGGUAUAUGAUUAAUCUCUGUAUGCUUUUUCUAAACUCAAUAUACAAUAGUAUAUCCAUGAAAAUAAAUUAAUGAAAAAAUAUGUUUAAAAAGUAAUGCAAAUAAUUUGUCAAACUGAGAUAAACUUUAAUACAACAAGGUCGGCACGCCGAAAUUCCUAGAUAAAACAAAGCCUACCCAUACUAGCUUUUAAUUAAUUAACAUAGUUUCGAUUGUUUUUUGUUUACAUUUUUGUGCUUGGCCCUCUUCAAUCAAGGAAACAUUGUUUAUUAUCAGUCGAACCAUCAACCAUGUGCUGAAACUCUCCUCUUAACAGUCUCAAUCAAUCCUAUAGAAAUCUGAUUUAUCCAUUGUUGGCACACUUUCAUGGCUUUUAUUAUUGUAUAUUAAUUGUCUCUACAUUAUUAUUUUACAAACAUUAACCAAAAUAUAUUUAAAAGAGGAAGACUUGUAAUUGUAAAAGCAACUGCACAUGCAAGUAUGUAUGCGGUUUUGUCCUUUUCUUGACAUCUUGUCUCUUAUAUAAACCACUCAAAUGUUUCCAUGUCUAUGUAUCCCAAAGCUCGAGAGAAAACAUAAGUGAAAGAAAAAAACUCCACAAAAAUCAAAUCAGAAAAAAAUGAUGAAGUUCAAGUCCAAGAGAUUUGGCAUUAGAUUUGGUUUUGGUAAAAGAACCAACAACAAAAGCACACAACAAGAUCAACAACAAAAAGGAUUUGGUAAUAACAACACCAAUAGUAGCAGCAGCAACUAUGAGAUCAAAUGGGAACUCAGGCCAGGAGGUAUGCUUGUUCAAAAGAGACAAGAGAGCAUUGGUGAAGACUUGAUCUCCAUAAGAGUCUCUACUUUUUCUCAUUUUCAUGAUCUCUCCAUUGAAGCCACCUCCACCUUUGGUAAAUUUCACAUCUCUCAACUUUUCUGAAUCUUUAUGGUACAUCUGGUAGACUUAUAUAACAAUAAAAGAUUUAAUAGACUAUAUGCGGGUUUACAAUAAACAUAGUUUAUUAGAAUUAUAAACAUAGUUUAUUAGAAUUACAAAAGUUUGAAACUAUAUUAUAAUUUUUCUUAUUAAAAACUAGAAAGUCAUUCUAAAGUAUGAAAUAAAAAUUAAUGAAAAAAUUCGAAAUCAUACAAAAAAUUGUGACAUUGCAACUGAUUUAUACUUGUGGAUUUACAGGGGAACUUAAGAUGGUACUAGCAUUGCUUACUGGUCUCGAGCCAAAACAACAACGGCUAUUAUUUAAAGGGAAAGAAAGAGAGGAUGAUGAAUAUCUACACAUGGUUGGUGUUGGAGAAAAAGACAAAGUCUUGUUGUUAGAAGAUCCUGCCUUCAAAGAGAAAAAGCUUCUUAACAACAUUUCCACUUCUUGCCCUACUAUAAUCGUAUAAACACCUAAACAAGUUUGUCAAAUUAAUUGUUUGUUAACUUCUUGGCGAAACAUAAAACCAGCCAAGAAUAAUAACUAGAUACAAAUUUUCCAUGUAGUCGUUCUAUUUCGAAGUUGUAAAACUAAUAUGUUUACAUGUUGUAAUAUAUUUGGUACGUACUUUUGAUCAUUUUCUUUUACUUCUAAUUAGGUACAUGCUGAAGAGUGAAAACAACAAAUAUGAAGUACUCAAUUGAGGAUAUCCACUACCAUUAUUGUUAUUCGUAUGUGGUGCGAAUUAGUUGAUUUUCUACUAAUUGAACUUAAAACGGGCAAACAAACCGAAACUUCUGCAUAACCGAGCUGGUCAAGACCCUAUACAAACCAAAACCUUUCAUUUCUCGGUAUACUCCGGUUAUGGCCUUAACUUCUCAAAAAGUUACAAAGUAACAUUAUUAUACCAAAUAUCCGCCACUUGGUUAUUUUAUAAGACUAGUAUGUCCACAAACCACAAGUCUAAACCAUCAAUUUAUAUAUUAGUGGUUUACAAAUCGUCUCUCUUCACAAACCGGCCCUGAAAAGAGAUGAACCAAAACCAAUACCUAAUUAGAACCAGCAGUUUCACGCAUCAACCCAAUCUAGUUCUCAAUCUUACAUAUAUUACUGUAGCCAUCACGCUUAUACAAGGUGUGUAAAAUGUUGAAAAGAAAAGAAGGGAAGCUUACUUUAACACGAGGACGUUUCUCAGCGUUGAGUUUACGAACUUGGUAUCGAAUCCGUUUAGAGAAAAGGCGACUUUGUCGUUUCUCUUUAUACCGUAGCAAGCUCGCUUCUCUAUGCCCUCUCCAUAACGUCUCCGUCGUCUCCAUCUCCGGCACAGUCCAUAAACUCCCUGCCUCUCCGCCGCCGGUAACCACCUAAACAACCAUCAAAACACACUUGCCUAGUAUCAAAUCUUUCUUAUCCAGCUUAGAUUAAUUUUGACGAUAACAACGAUGACCAAAAUAUACAAUAUUUUACAAUUGGGUGCAUUUGUCAUGUAUAUACCAUAUGAUUUAAUAAAGCUCGAUAGGUUUCAUGAUUUGAUAAAUGUUUUUUAUCAAUCUAACAGUUAUGUAGAAAAUCAACAUGUACAAGUAUUAUCAUUUAUUAGGGUUACAGAAAAUUUUUCAAAAAAAAUCAUUAUGCGGUUACAUUUUCAGUUUAUAGGCAAAGCUUUCAAUAUGAUACUAGAACUUUCAACGUAAUAAAUUUAAUUAGGCUAUCAUCAUUACAGUUUCAAGAAAAAACUCGUGACCACAUCAAAAUUUUCACCGCUUUUAAUAGGUCAACUUAAUUAGUUACAUUAAGCAUUAACUACGAUUUAAUUUAUAUCAACUUAAUUAUACUCGUUCUGUUCCUAAAUAUAGGAUGUUUAGAAUAGUUUUUAUGUUCCAAUAUGCAGGAUGUUCUCAUAUUUCUAGGUAGUUUAAGUUUAUCAAAAACUCUGUUACCAAUCAAACUUAAUAGUUCUAUUUUGUAAUUGGUUGAAUAGUUUUAAAUUUAAAAUUUUAAUAAUACUUUUUAGAUAAAAACUAAAUUUCUUAAUAAGUGUAUUUUACCUAAAAAAUCUUAUAUUUAGGAAGGGGGGGGAGGGGGAGUAUAAUUUAAGCAUUAAUUACGAUAUAUAAACAUGAUAUAAAGAGAUGUUUACUUACAUCAGCAGAAGCAUGCAAGUCCGGCACCGUCUGCGGCGGUUCUCCGUCGACAUAAAGAGUACCUUUAUCCGGCCAAGCCUCCAUGAUCUGCUCAUAAUCAAGCUUCAGAGCCAGCGAAGUCCUUCCAUCGUUUCCAUCUCCGCCGCAACACCGUGGAGUUCCGCUCCGACUCAUCACCUCGUCCACAACCUCCGAAUAACUCACCCACCGCUCCGCCGUAGCUUCCUCCUUGCUCGCUCCUUUCCUCAUCGCCGUCCGUAGAAGCGAAGAAGUAGACGUUGAUCCACGCUCUUUAAUGUCGUACGGAGACAUGUCCCUUCCUCCUCCGCCGCAAUCUACAUCUUCUGCGGAGGAAGGGAGCAGAUCGUGAAUCGAAGAGAUUGUGCUGUUGUCGGUGGUGGAGUUGAAGAGGUAAGCCGCCACGGUGUCGUAUUGAUCUUCUUCUUUCUCCCCUUCUCCCACUGUCUCCAUUCUCUUCUUCUCAGCACCUCCUCUCGUCUUGCUCUGCUUCUUCUUGUUCGUCGUGGUUACGGGACUCUCGUCGAUCUCGUGAGAAGUGUUGAGUUCGAGCUUGAGACUGAGACUGAGGAACUUUGGUUUCUUUGUCUUUGUUCUGAUCUGCUUACGAGACGUUUCAAGAUUCGAAGGAGAGCUAUCAUCCAUGGCUAUGUGUUUCCUCUUCUUGAUCCUCUUCGAUGUUCUCGUACUCUGUUUUUCUUCUCCGACCACAGGACAAGGUUCACUACACAUCUUUGAUCCCUCUUACACUGUAUAAUUGUGUGUUUCUCUCACUCUUAAUUAACUUGUUCUCUGUUUUGUAAUAGAAAGAAUGUAGGUGGAGGGAAAAGGAAAGCUGAUCGUGAUGUUACUUUGACACGUGUCGAUCAUUAAUUCGAUAAAACUAUUGUAAUCUUGGAUUCUGUUUGGAUGUGCAGGGUUUCAACAUUUCAGACACGGCAACAUUCAUAGAGUUCACGGUAGAUCUUAAUUCAAAAAGGUUUGGGAUAUUGAGUACCAAGUCUGGGCUUGGGUUGGACGUGCCUAGAAGGUCUGGAGCCUUCUAUAUCCGAACAGGUACGAUCUGGACCGUUGAUUGUAAUCGAUGGAAAAGAUCUGUCCCAGAAGGAUGUUCACGCAUCAACCCAAUCUAGUUCUCAAUCUUACAUAUAUUACUGUAGCCAUCACGCUUAUACAAGGUGUGUAAAAUGUUGAAAAGAAAAGAAGGGAAGCUUACUUUAACACGAGGACGUUUCUCAGCGUUGAGUUUACGAACUUGGUAUCGAAUCCGUUUAGAGAAAAGGCGACUUUGUCGUUUCUCUUUAUACCGUAGCAAGCUCGCUUCUCUAUGCCCUCUCCAUAACGUCUCCGUCGUCUCCAUCUCCGGCACAGUCCAUAAACUCCCUGCCUCUCCGCCGCCGGUAACCACCUAAACAACCAUCAAAACACACUUGCCUAGUAUCAAAUCUUUCUUAUCCAGCUUAGAUUAAUUUUGACGAUAACAACGAUGACCAAAAUAUACAAUAUUUUACAAUUGGGUGCAUUUGUCAUGUAUAUACCAUAUGAUUUAAUAAAGCUCGAUAGGUUUCAUGAUUUGAUAAAUGUUUUUUAUCAAUCUAACAGUUAUGUAGAAAAUCAACAUGUACAAGUAUUAUCAUUUAUUAGGGUUACAGAAAAUUUUUCAAAAAAAAUCAUUAUGCGGUUACAUUUUCAGUUUAUAGGCAAAGCUUUCAAUAUGAUACUAGAACUUUCAACGUAAUAAAUUUAAUUAGGCUAUCAUCAUUACAGUUUCAAGAAAAAACUCGUGACCACAUCAAAAUUUUCACCGCUUUUAAUAGGUCAACUUAAUUAGUUACAUUAAGCAUUAACUACGAUUUAAUUUAUAUCAACUUAAUUAUACUCGUUCUGUUCCUAAAUAUAGGAUGUUUAGAAUAGUUUUUAUGUUCCAAUAUGCAGGAUGUUCUCAUAUUUCUAGGUAGUUUAAGUUUAUCAAAAACUCUGUUACCAAUCAAACUUAAUAGUUCUAUUUUGUAAUUGGUUGAAUAGUUUUAAAUUUAAAAUUUUAAUAAUACUUUUUAGAUAAAAACUAAAUUUCUUAAUAAGUGUAUUUUACCUAAAAAAUCUUAUAUUUAGGAAGGGGGGGGAGGGGGAGUAUAAUUUAAGCAUUAAUUACGAUAUAUAAACAUGAUAUAAAGAGAUGUUUACUUACAUCAGCAGAAGCAUGCAAGUCCGGCACCGUCUGCGGCGGUUCUCCGUCGACAUAAAGAGUACCUUUAUCCGGCCAAGCCUCCAUGAUCUGCUCAUAAUCAAGCUUCAGAGCCAGCGAAGUCCUUCCAUCGUUUCCAUCUCCGCCGCAACACCGUGGAGUUCCGCUCCGACUCAUCACCUCGUCCACAACCUCCGAAUAACUCACCCACCGCUCCGCCGUAGCUUCCUCCUUGCUCGCUCCUUUCCUCAUCGCCGUCCGUAGAAGCGAAGAAGUAGACGUUGAUCCACGCUCUUUAAUGUCGUACGGAGACAUGUCCCUUCCUCCUCCGCCGCAAUCUACAUCUUCUGCGGAGGAAGGGAGCAGAUCGUGAAUCGAAGAGAUUGUGCUGUUGUCGGUGGUGGAGUUGAAGAGGUAAGCCGCCACGGUGUCGUAUUGAUCUUCUUCUUUCUCCCCUUCUCCCACUGUCUCCAUUCUCUUCUUCUCAGCACCUCCUCUCGUCUUGCUCUGCUUCUUCUUGUUCGUCGUGGUUACGGGACUCUCGUCGAUCUCGUGAGAAGUGUUGAGUUCGAGCUUGAGACUGAGACUGAGGAACUUUGGUUUCUUUGUCUUUGUUCUGAUCUGCUUACGAGACGUUUCAAGAUUCGAAGGAGAGCUAUCAUCCAUGGCUAUGUGUUUCCUCUUCUUGAUCCUCUUCGAUGUUCUCGUACUCUGUUUUUCUUCUCCGACCACAGGACAAGGUUCACUACACAUCUUUGAUCCCUCUUACACUGUAUAAUUGUGUGUUUCUCUCACUCUUAAUUAACUUGUUCUCUGUUUUGUAAUAGAAAGAAUGUAGGUGGAGGGAAAAGGAAAGCUGAUCGUGAUGUUACUUUGACACGUGUCGAUCAUUAAUUCGAUAAAACUAUUGUAAUCUUGGAUUCUGUUUGGAUGUGCAGGGUUUCAACAUUUCAGACACGGCAACAUUCAUAGAGUUCACGGUAGAUCUUAAUUCAAAAAGGUUUGGGAUAUUAUUAUGUUUAGAGGCACCAACAUAAAAAUAAAAUUAACAGGCCUUAGGCCUGACUGAAUUGUUCAAACGCAGCGGUGCGGGAGUUUGCGGACUUGGGUAGUUGCGGUUUCUAGUGGCUUUAAGAGAUUUCGUACGAUUGGUUCAGCGGUUAGAAAUUGGUGCGUUUGCGGAAUAUUUAUGACUGAUUAACUAACAAAUGCAGCAUCGGUUAAAUAAUAAAUUAAUAAUAUUUAUAUUUUAUAUAAUUAUAAAAAUAUCAAAAAUCAUAUUCUUAUAAUAAAUAGAAAAAAUAUAUUUAGAAAAUUAUAGUUUUAAAUUUUAAAAAAAUAUAGAAAAUAUUUUUAUUUUUAAAUUUUCUAAUAUUAAUAUGUAAUAGAUAUAUUUUAGUAUUUUUAUAAUUCCAAUUGAAUUUUUUUAUUUUAUAUUUAUAUUGUUCAAAAAAGAAAUAAAAUUUAUCUUCCCGUAACCGUCCGAAACUGUAACCCGCCGCAACUGCAAACGCUAGUUGGAACUAACUUUUGAUUUUAUGAGAUUUAGAACGGUUUGAAGCGGUUUGAGUGAGUGUUAUAAAACACCAACAACUGUUACCAACCGCAAAAACUGUGUUUGUGGGUGGUAGCGGAAAAACUAGUCGUACCCUUAGUCCAAAAAAACAAACGUGGUUAUAAUGAGAUUUUUCGAGCGCUGAAAAUAUACGUUUGAGGUGAUAUAAUAUCUUACGACUUUUCUUCCGUGAGAGGAUUGCAUCUGCAUUAUUAUUAUUCCACGCUGUCAUCGAACGCAAGUAAACUGUAGAACUGAUAUUAAUAAAUAAAUUUCAAAAAAUGCGAAUCCAAUUCAUCAUAAAUUGACAAGAGGGAUAUAUCAUUUGAGGUUCCGAAUGGUAAAAUUAGUUCAAACAAAACAGAUCAAGUAGAUCAUACAGAUCAAGCGGAACAAGUACAGAUCAAGUGGAUCAUACAGACAGAUCAAUUAGAUCAAACAAUUAUUAUAGUUUAGAAUGAUAUAAACAGUCAAAACACUUAAUAUAGAAAUAUAAUACAUAAACAACAAUAAAUCUUGUACUAAAACCAUGUUACUGCAAUUUUGAAAUCAAAAUAUGAAAACAUUGAACUUUGAUGAAAUAUAUAUAUAUAUAUCUUCCACUAGUAUACAUAUUUAAAUUAUAUUACUAUAUUUUGCAUAAUACAUACUAUAAAUAUAAUAAUUUAAAUAAAUUUAAAAUUAUAUGAUGAAAAUAGAAAGAUAAAUAUAUAAUCAAUGAUAGUUUUUAUGUUGUUAAAGUUAUAAUUAAGAUAGAAUGAAAAUAUUGUAUUUAUAAAGAUAAACAACUAUAUUAAAAAAAAUUACUUGCAGAACUCCCGCAAACAACAUCAAAUGUAUAGCAAGUGAUUUUCUUUUUUCACAAAAAAGACAAGAAAAAUUAAACUGCAUACAGAUCUUCCGCUAGCAAUAUAAAAAUAAAAACAGUUGAAUGGUAAAUGCAGUGCGGGAGAACUGCUUGAGUGGGAGAACUGCCUUUGUCCCACCCUUCUAUUAGAACACUGAAUUGUGGGAUUUAUCGUAAAUGUUGCUACCACCGACAGCAAUGACUUGUGAAGUGAUUUAUAGUACAGAAGCAUCCUGAACAAUUACUGACAUUAUUUGAUGACACCUUCCGUAUCGUAUAUAUAAUAGAUUUUCAUUCUAUGAUUUAACAUUCGCGUGAAAUAAAAACAAAUUCUAUAACAUUAUUUUGGGCUUACGGUGCUUGAAGGAAGCCCAAAUUAAAAACCCAAUAUUUUGGCUAAUUUAACUCAGCUGUUUGCUUAAGAGUCAAGGCAUGCUCACACCCAAAUAAACUAUUGAACAACUAAUAAACAAAACAAAAGCAUUAGAAUUGCAAUCAAGAUCAAAUGUUCUUGUUCUGUAACAAUUAUAUGUACGUUUUAUUCAGACCGUACUCUAUCCAUUCUAUCAACACUCUUCCUCCCUCUCUCAAUCUGAUGAUUAUGGCCAACGCUCUUCCUUGCCUUGUCGUGGAGGUCAACGCUCCUCCUCGACCGAUCUAAAUGCUGCUCGAAAGUGAGUCUCAGCUUACUCUUCUUGGAAGGACCCUUUAGCGGUUUCUCUUUCUCCCUUCUAUCGACGCUUUGCCUUGGUGGCUUCUCUCUUCUAUCUACGCUCUGCCUCGGCAUUUCCACAUCGCUGCUCUGGUUCUCUGAAUGGCACGUGCUCUCCCUCGAGGAGAGAGGUCUCUCUACGGCUGUCAUGAAUUUCUUAAGGUGUUUGAUGUAUUCAGGGUAGUGUUCUAGAUCGCAAUGGCUACCACCUUCGAGCCAAAGCGGUUCAUACUUCUCUUUAGAGAGUUCCCAUAGCUGUUUUCCAUGGGAACAGUCAACAACUUCAUCUGAAGUUCCCUACAACAAGAUGAAUAAUCCACCAAAGAGAGUUAAAGACACUUAUAAAAAAACAAGAACAGAGAGAGAUAGGCUGUGAUUUCGAAUCGAAUCCGCCCAACCGAACAAAAUUUUUGGUUAGUUCAGUUAGGAGUUCGAUUCGAUUCAGUAUUUUUUUCAAAUCAUAACCAAAUCAUACCACAAAAUUGAACUAAACUAACCGAACUAACCAAACUUAUUUCAAAUUUAAUAAAAUUAAACCAAACUCUAACCGAAAUAAUAAAAAAAUGGGUAGAAUUUUCAAAAAAACUAACCGAAUAACAAAUCGAAAUUUAUUUUGGAUAACUCGGUAAAAUUUAUGUUAAACGAAACUACUCAAACCAAAUAACCAGAACUACCCAAACCCGCAUGCCUAGAGAGAGAGAGAGUUGGAUAUGUAACUCACGUGAAUGACAAGAACCGGGCAAUUCACAAGUGUGAUCUUGUCGAUGUUCUGCACAAAAAUAAAAGAAAGCAUAAACCUGCAACUGUAUGAUCCAUGAAAGAAUGAUGUAUUUUAUUACCUUGUAGAUGUCAAACCAGUAAGUCUUUUUCACUGGAUACAUUACUCUAAGGCCUGAAAGAAUCGGGCUAUGGAGAACAGCAGCUCUCAACUGAGGCAACCGAGCAGCGAGAUCUAAUGUAGGUCCACUUCCUACAGAUUGGCCAUAAAGGAUUACGUCUUCCUGUUUUGUUCCGUAGCUCUCUUCAAGACAUUUAUAAGCAGCUUCUAUAUCAGCAUAUGUAUGGCUCUCACUCGGCUAAAGUCACAGACACACACCAAAAAAAAAAAGAUUAUUAUAAUUAGUUAUAUAGCUAUUAUCAAUACUCUCAUAUGUUUGUUAAGGACAAACAAACCUUUCCAGUAGACUGUCCAUACCCUGAGUAAUCAUACCUGCAAGAAGAAUACAGAAAAGCAAAACAUUUUACGAAGUUGAAUCAAGCUAAGGAAGGAUCUGAAUCUUGGUUUGUAAUUUUCAAUGCUAGGAAUGAUCUCAAGUUGAGAGAUGUAUUUCUCAUUAAGAUCAUUCUGAACUAAAGUUUCAGACACAAGCAGAAACAUACAGAUUAACAAUAGAAGGCUAAAACCCCAAUGAACAAUAUAUACAGAUUAGACCCAAAACAUCUUAAACAAAAAAAGACUUAAAAGAAGAACCAACAUUCAGACUUUCAUGACAAACAACAUAACCACAAGCCUGAUCAGGAAGCAAAGUAAUAGACUUGAAUAGUCACAUAACCACCCAAAAAGAACCAAUCAAACAGUGAACCAGAAGCAAUCAAUAAGGAAACAAAUCUCCAAAUUUAACCAGAAAUAAAAAAAAGUAGAAACACCAAAACCAAACAUGAAAGCAAGCUAAAAAUUUUUAUACACAGACAAAAACAGAGUAGCUUAUACAGAGAGCAACAGUUUAGGAAGAAACAGAGGUAAAGACUGGAACUUUAAACAUACCCCAUAAGAUUAACCUUGAGAUGGAUGCUGAGCUCGAUGAAGAGCUCAUACAUCUGUCCCAGAUCGGCUGCGUUUCCAUGUGAAUAAAGCAGAGUAGAGGUAGCCAUCGGGUGUCUCACGUGCACAGCUACGAUCUCUGUUCCUUUACGCGUCGGAAGCUUUAAGACUUCCACGUUUUCGCGGUGAGGAAACGGGUUCAUCAGAAGAAGUCCCGUCACUUCGUCGGAGACGAGCCUGUAAGACGACGGACUCGGCGGACAAAAAGCUAACUUCGCCGCAAUUGAUGACGUCACCCCUCCCAUCUCUUUCUCUCCCUCUGCUUCGCUUCACAGUUCCCUUAAACUGUUAGACGAAGAACAUUUUCUUCAGCUAUCGAAGAGAGAGGAUUAAGGAAGAAAAAGUGGCGCUUGAAUGGGUAAAGAAGGAGAAUGAUAAUUAAAAAAUGUUAUUGAAGUUUGGCUUUUAAAAAAAAAAAUUAAAUCGAUGAUAAGGAAUACUUAUUACACUGUAAAAUGUUUUUCUGUGAUACUAAAAGAGGAUAAAUGAUUACAAGUACAGAGAGGUGCAGACAAGAUGGAGCUUAUGUCAAUGGAGGUUAUAUCACUAAAGUCAGAUACAUGUGGACAAGUACUGAAAAAAAGGUUACUUUUCUGCAGGUAAAAGGAGGGUUUUAGACUAAUAAUUCAGCGUUGGUGGAGUGCUAAAUCAUAGGUUAUGAUUAAAACAUGUAUAUAUUUUGGGAGCACCAAAUUUAAGAGCGAAGGAUGAAUGGCACAAUGAAACUUUAUAACUGAUUUGAACAAGGACGUUACAAAAUGAAGAUGAUAAAACAUUAAGUAAUACUAAUACUAGUAAGCAAAAGCUUGACAAAAGAAAAUACUAGUAAGCAAAAGAUGUAGUAUAAUUUUGUAUUAAAAUCAUAAAAUGUAAAGGAGUAUGUUGGUUUGGUUUGGUUUGGUUCAUGGGGGUCCAUGAUAGAUAAGAAGCUGAAAGCAAGUUUGGGAGUGAUGGGUCUUCACUCACGCUGUCACGCUGUCACGCAGUCACGCCUUAUGUGACAGCUUGAAAAUAUUUGAUUUUGGUUAUUUUAAUUUCUGUCUGGGUAACAAGAAUUUCUAUACUUCUUGUUUUGGGAAUAUAUUUUGCUAGUUUUAUAUAAAUUAUAUAUAAAUGUUUUAAAAAAAAAUCUUAAUUACUAUAAAGUUUGAGAAAAUAUAAGUUUUCAUAACAUGCUUGCUAAAAAAAGUUAACCGGGAAAUAAAAAAAACUUGGUACAAUCGAAAGGCUCUACAAAGGCCACCCACAUGCAUGACCAAGUCUCAUACAAACUAUACAACGAAAGCAAACCUCUAGAAAAAAACGAGUUUGGAUGUACAAAUUUUAAUUGGGCCUUCGUCCAGAGUAGCUUAUUGGCGUGGUCCUCGUGUCAACAAGUGAAGCUGCUUAUCCUUUUUAUAGACACACAAAAUACACACACAUGCUUUUUUUUUUUUUUUGAAAAGAAAUACACACACAUGUUUAGUUAUCUUUUUUUUUAUUAAUUAAUUUUUGUAAUGGCAAAAUAUAUAAUUAUAUAUACAUCCUCAUAUAUAUGAUAUUAGGAAAUUUAAUAUCUGAUUUAGUAAUAUCAGAUUUUUUUUCCUAAAAAGAAAUCUAACUAUUAAAGCAAAAUCCCUACAAAAAUUUUUGUCUUUGAGUUUUUAAGUUAAUUACAAUGGCAUGCCAUUUUCUUAUUAGAAUAAUUAGUUAUUUUCUCACUUUUAAAUUCAACCAAUCAAAAAUAAGCUUUUAAUACUAAUAUCUUUAAUUCAAUUAAUAUGAGAUUUAUUAACCUAUUCUCUUCACGAAAUAUAUACAUAUUUCUUUUUAUGGUUUCAUGUUCCAAAUCAACUAACCUAGAAAACAUUUAAUAGCAAAUAAUGCAUAUUUUUUUAGAACUUAGUAUAUUGAAUUUGACCAUAUCCAUAUAAUGGGUCAAGAUGUCAUCGGUAAAAACAUAAAUAUUCAUACGUUUUUUUAUAUUGAAAUUUGACCAUAUGAAAUUGUUUUAAUUGUAUGACACCAAAUUUAUUUCUCGUUUAUAUCUUUAAUAAACCGGAUCUAUUAUACUCCCUCCGUUUCAAAAGAGAAGAUGUUUUAUGGAGUUUUUGAUGUUUCAAAAUAGAUGAUGUUUUCAUAUUUCAAUGUACUUUUUAACUUUAUCAAAAUCUAUGUAACCAAUCAUAUUUUAUAGUAUGUUUUGUGAUUGUUUUGUGAUUGGUCGAAUAAUUUUUAAUUUAUACUUUAAUGAUAUUUUUUAGAUAAAAAACAAGUUUCUUAACAGUUGUGCUCCAUCCUAAAACUUCAUGUAUUUUGAAACAGAGAGAGUAAUUAUCUAGAGGUGGGCAUUUUACCCGAUACCCGAACCCGUAUCCUAAUCCGACCCGAAAAACCAUAGCAAAAUACCCGAACGGAUAUUGAUUUAGGAGAGAUUGGAUAUCCCAAUCCAAACGGAUAAUAUCCGAACCCGAAUGGAUAUCUGAAAAUAACCGAACAUAUGUAUACUUACCCUUAUAUUUCUUGUUUACAUCUCUCAUUUUAUUUCAAAUUAAAUAUCUAUAUUGAUGUUACACAUACUUUAAGAUCAUAUAAUACUAGUAUUAUCACCCCGUGCUAAGCACGGGUCAAUUUGUGCUUGCAAUUAAAUUCUUUUAAAAAAAUAAAAUUAUAGUGUUCUUUAUUGUUUAUUUUUUUGGUAAAAUUUAGUGUUCUUUAAAACUAAAAUAAAAUAAAAAUUUACAAUGAACAAAUGUUAUUGUGAAUCAUAAACAGAAAAUUAAAAUUUGUUGUUACAUCUUAAACUGUCCAAUAUAUAUAUAGACCUAAAAUAUUUGAUUUUCCAAAAUCAAAAUCACUACGGAGAACAAACUGAAAGAAUGGCUUGCACCAGCAAGAUUAAAAUACCAACCUUAGUUUUGUGGAUAAUUGACCUCUCUAUUAUCUUUGUAGUUUUUCCGUCUACUUCUAUAACUUUUUUUUUUGUUUUCUUUCAGUUUUGCUUUUACAUUUCUUCAUCUUCAAUAACAUACUUUCUCCAACGUUUUUUUUUGUUUUAAGGAAAAUCUAGAUUUUGGUAACACUAUAAGAAAAAUAAAACAAAAGUGUAUCAAUGUUGAUCUGUUGAUCAGAAGGUAAACAUAAAAUAAUGUAACCACAUUUUUGUAAGAUUAUAAAUAAAUAAAAUAAAUAUAAGGAAGACCAAAGUUUUGUCUAUCCUAUCACCCGAAUUUUGUAAGCCUUAUUUGUUACCUUGUAGUUAUCACCACAUUUUUUUCUUCUAGUGUUGCUUCCAAAGUUUCUUUAAGACCUUGCAAGUGCGCUAUAAAAAGACUAGCUCUUACUCUCUCUCUGAAUUAUCACCACCAUGAUAAAUAAACAUAUAUAUAUUACAGCAAAACUGAGAACUGAUUUAGUCUAUUUUGAAAAUCUUAUUGACUUGUUUUGUUUAUGUUUCCAUUUUCAUGUAGUAUCUGCCAAUAUCUAAAAAACUAUAUGUAGAUUAGAAGAGGAAGAGGUUUAUGGAAAACGAAAUUCAACAUAAAACAAAUUUGAUUCGAACAUGAAGAAUUCAGGGGUUUUCAAUCUUACUAACCUGGAAUUUAUGUUCAUCUCCAAACUUUGUAGUGAAGCUCCGUUUAUCCGUCCACAACAAAUUUCUGUUUUCUCAAUACGUUGAAUUUUUUUUUUGAAUUUUUUUAUUGUGCCACCUUUUGGCUAUAGACUAUGUUUAUAUGGAUCUACAAUUGUUGAUUCGACACUGUAGAUACACGACCAUUAGAAGUUUUCAUCACACUCUAGAAAUUAAAGAGCCAGGAAUCUUUUCAAAGAAUUUGAGAAUUUAUAAUUUUGAAAGCAAAUAGAAAUGAUUUAAAGUUUAUGGCAUCAUGAGUUAAAUAUUUUAUAGGGAAAAAGAUUAACGGUUUUCAAAUCGUGAAAUCGUGGUGUUGUGUGAGAAAUUUUAGGGAUUUUUUAAUUUUAUAUAGAUAUAAGUUAGAGAAAAACGAAACUGUUUUUUUUUCUUUUAUUUAAUUUGUGAAAAAUAAUUUUCAGGUGUCACAAUUUUAUUGAUUGAGUGACUUGUGCUUUAGUAUAUAAGGGAUAUACAUAUAAUUACGGCGAAAACGAUUUGUCACUCAAUUAAAAUGCAUGUCAAGUUUUUUUGUAUUAUGUAUUAACAAAAGUUACAUUCAAAAUUUUAAAACAAUAACUAGAUUAAUGUUUAUUUAUUUUUGAAAUGUUAUCUUCAAAUCUAUCAAUCAUUCAAUCUAUUAAAAAAUAAAAAAAUAGUUAAGUGAAAUCUAUAUUUUUAAAUAGAAUAAACCUAAAAAUGAAAAAAAUUUAUUUUUAUUUUUCAAAAUCUCAAUAUCCGAACCCGACCUGAAAUAACCGAACCCGAACUAAAAAUACCCAAACCCGACCCGAAUUACAGAAAUACCCAAACGGGUUCUAUGCCCCUAUGCUGAAAUACCCGAAAAUCCGAAAUACAUGACUCGAACCCGAACGGGUAUCCGAACGCACACUCCUAAUAUUACCCGUAAAAAUAGAUCAGUUUAUUAUUUUAGUUAGUUUUCUAUAUUGCCAUAUCUUUAAAGAUGAGAAUCAUUAAUUCAAAACACAUGUAGUUGUAGGUUUUUUCCUUUCUUUCAUUAGAUAAAUUAUUUGAACAAGAUUAUACUAACAAACUAGGUGUUCUGCCCGCAUGCGGGCAUCGUGUUAUCUGUUUAUAACUAUUAAAUCAAAACCAACAUAAUAAAUUAUUAAUUAUGUUUUUAAGAAGAUAAAUCAAACAUUAAACUUUAGAUUUUAUAAUAAAAAAUAUUAUUUCAGAUAAAACACAACAUAUUUAAGAAUUAUCUUAUGUUUUAAAAUAUAUUUUAUUUAACUAUAAAUUAUUUUAUAUCUAACUAUAAAUUUUAUAAUAAAAUAUUAUUUUCGGAUAACAACAGAAUAUAUCUAAGAAUUAUCUUAUGUUUUAAAACAUGUUUUUUAUUUUUGGAAAUUUUAUUAUAUUUAUUUACAGUCAAUUAUCUAAUAUAAUAUAUAAAUAUAAUACUAUUAAUAGAAAUUCGUUUUUAAUUAUUUAUAUUAUAGAUAAUUCUUAUUAUUAUUAAAUUUAAUCACUUAUUUAAUCAGAUAGAUUUUAAAUUCAUUUUAUGUUCGACUAAUUUAUAUAAUUUAUUCAUUAAGGGUAUAAACGAUUUAUUAUUAAUUUUAAAUCACUUUUUAAUAAGAUAGAUUUAAAAUUCGUUUUUAUUUUUUGACUAAUUUAUAUAAUUAUUCAUUAAGGAUAUAAACGAUAUUAACCGCUCUAAUUAUAAUUCAAAUAAUUUAUCUAACUAUAAAAAUAUAUAAUAAAAAUAUACUUAAAUACAUAAAAUAUAUACAAAUUAUAAAAAUACAUAACAAAUAUAUAAAAUAUGUCAGAUUAUUUUAUAUAAAAUACAUAAUAUUAUAAUCAAAAUCUAGUACAUAUUUUAAAAAGUCAAUACUAUUUGGUAAUGACACAUAAAUAUUCAACAACAUGCAUUGUCUUUAUUCAUUGAUUUGAUUCCAAUUGUGUAGUGUGGAAAAUCUGAAAGUUAUACAGUAAUGACACAUGUCAAAAUUCCUUUUUAACAUUACAAGUAUAAGCAUCGUUUCCUUUGGAUACAAUCUAUUUCUUUUUUUUUGGUCAAAACAACAAAUUAUCACCCUACUGACACAUGUCAAAAUACUUUUCUAACAUAUGUUACAUACCAGUAAUCAUUGUUUCCUUGAAUACGAUGCUUUUUUUUUGACAACACAACAAAAUAUCAAUAAAAUUGAUUAUGUUGUCUAAAGAAUAGGGAAAUUUACACUAUGGAUUCUUUCUAGUAUUUGCUUGUGUAUGUGUAUAUAUAGAGGUAUACAGACCAAGAUAUAGAAUUAUAAAAGACACACUCAUUAAAAUAGGAUCAGUCUAAUAAGAAAGACAAUGUUGGUCUUAUCGAUCAUUUUAUCGUUAGGAUUUGUCUUCCUCUCUAUAAUUUUGAUUCAUUAUGUUUCAGUAUCUAAGCAAAAUGAAACAAAAGAUAAUAACUCAUCGCUAAGUGGUAGCAUGGGAUGGCCGUUUAUUGGAGAAACCAUUUCUUUCUUCAAACCUCAUAGAUCAGACUCCAUUGGCACAUUCUUGCAACAACGUGUUUCACGGUAACAAUGACUUAUUUUCUUUAACUGAUCAUCUUGUUUAUAUAAAUUGCCCCGAAAAAUAUCACAGAAAACUAGAAGCAAUAUCAUUUUGAUUGGAGAAUAAUCUCCAUAGUAAUACAAACGAAACUCUAUGUGCAAGAGAAAUCUCUCUGAAUUUUUGCAUAUAUGACAUUCUUGUUUUCUGACCAAAUUUUGGUUAUUGUUGAUAAAAAGAAAUCCAAUAGAAAAAAGUUGGAUACUGUAAAUCUGUAUUUGUAAUAAUACAAGAUAAUACCUUAUCUAAAUUGGAGAUCAUUAAAAAUUGUGAAAGUUUUUUUUUCAGGUAUGGAAAAGUUUUUAUGUCAAAUCUAUGCGGUGGAAAAGCAAUAGUGUCAUGUGACCAAGAACUCAACAUGUUCAUACUUCAAAACGAAGGGAAGUUAUUUACAUCGGAUUAUCCAAAAGCGAUGCAUGACAUUCUCGGCGAAUAUUCCCUCCUACUAGCCACCGGAGAAAUUCACAGGAAACUAAAAAAUGUUAUCAUUAGCUUCAUCAAUCUCACAAAGUCGAAACCCGAGUUUCUUCUCUGCGCAGAGAACCUCGCUAUAUCGAUGCUAGAGUCAUGGAAAAAUUGCAGAGAAAUCGAAUUCCAUAGAGAAGUAAAAAUGGUAAUCAAUUUAUUAUAGAGUCAUUAACCUUGAUUUAGUACAUCUUUUUUUGAUUCUGGUAUCUUUCUUGUGGUUGAAUUAUUCAGUUUACUAUGAGUGUUAUGGUAAACCAACUAUUGAGCAUCAAACCAGAAGAUCCAGCAAGACGUUAUGUAUUACAAGAUUUUUUAACUUAUAUGAAAGGGUUUGUAUCGUUACCAGUACUGCUUCCAGGAACGGCCUAUACAAACGCAAUUAAGGUUAUAUCCAAUCCUAUUACAUUAAAUCCUCCAAGAUAACAAAAAAGUUGAGCUCAUUGAAAUUUUAAUUUCACGGAUUAACGUUUUGAUUUUUUUUCCUUUUGCGUUUUUUUUGGGUCAAACUGUCGUACGUUUUCCUUUGCGUUUAAAAUAUAAAAUAUAACUGAGCUAUUUUGUAAGAAUUAAAAUAUGUAAAUCCACUUUUAGGGUUUCACAGUUCAGCUAUGUCCAAUUUUUUUGGGGUUAAAAGCUAUAUCCACGUACUUGCGUCAGGCAUUUUCGUACGUUUUACUUUUAGACACAUUUAUAUUGGUGUUACAAAAAAAGACACAUUUAUAUAUGCAGUUGCAUAGCAUAUAUAAUAUAAUAUAAAAUAAUAUAUAGUCAUCAAAAAAAAUUUUGAACAAAUAUAUAGUUAUCAAUUAUUUUCAAUGUUUGCUAGGCUAGGAAGAGAUUGUCCACGAGGGUUAUGGGCAUGAUAAAACAAAGAGAACAUGAAGAACGAGAGAUGAAGAAGGGAUUAAGAGAAGAAGAUUUUCUAGAUGUGAUCAUGUCAAAUGAGGAUCUAAAUUAUGAAGAGAAAGUUAGCAUUGUAUUGGACAUUUUGCUUGGAGGCUUUGAAACAAGUGCCACUCUUCUUUCCUUGGUUGUCUAUUUUCUCGCAAAAUCUCCAAAUGUUCUUCAAAAACUCAAGGUUUAGUACUUAUAUCUUUUCUCCUUAUCUAUAGAUAUUUGCAAUGCUUAGCUUAAUUAUCCAUGCAUGUGAAUGUGUGCAGGAAGAACAUGAAUCAAUUAGAGCCAAGAAAGGAGAUGAAAAACUCUUGAACUGGGAAGAUUAUCAGAAGAUGGAAUUCACCCAACGUGUACCGAUCCCAUAAUUCUUUUUCAUUUUUUCUUUUUAUCAAAAAUGUUUUGGUAAACAAGUUCAAAUAUUUAUAUUCUAAUUUAAAAUCAUAGGAUAUAUAUUGAUCUUUAGUUUUUGAAUGUGUUCUUCUUACAAGUACUUUUUGCAUAAUUGAUCGAAUUUACAGGUGAUGUCUGAAGCACUGCGAUGUGGAAAUAUUGUCAAGACGGUACAUCGAAAAGCUACCCAUGAUAUUAAAUUCAAAGGUUAAUUAACUUUGAUCAACUGGUUUUUUUUAAAUUACUCCCUCUGUUUUCUAAUAUAAGUCGUUUUAGAAUUGUGCACAUAGAUUAAGAAAAUCAUUAAUUUUUUAUAUUUUCUAAACAAAAACAUCAUUAAUUAUUUACUUAACCACAAAUCAACCAAUAAUAAAAUAGAAGGUCUAUUAUCAAUGGUCAUAUAACAUUAAGUGUUAAUAAAUUUUACAUAGAAAACUGAAAACGUCAUAUAAUUUAGAACAUAAAAAUUUCUCUAAAACGACUUAUAUUAAAAAACGGAGGGAGUACUAGUUAAAAGCAAUAUUAAAUUAAAUUUGUAAUUUUGACCCCAAAAAAUAAAUUUGUAAUAUGCUUGAUUGACAGAAUAUGUGAUUCCAAAAGGAUGGAAGGUGUUUCCUAUUUUCACAGCAGUACAUCUUGAUCCAUCUCUCCAUGAAAAUCCUUAUGAAUUUAAUCCCAUGAGAUGGACUGUAAGUACAAUAACAGAUGCAUUCAAAUGGUAAGCAGAAAUAAAGGUAAACUGAAAGAAGAAAUUAAUAUUGUUUCUUGAAAACUAUAUAAAUAGGACAAGGGGAAGAUGAAUAAGAAAACGACGGCGUUUGGAGGAGGAGUAAGGGUAUGUCCUGGUGGUGAACUUGGAAAACUCCAGAUUGCUUUCUUCCUUCAUCAUCUUGUUCUCUCUUAUAGGUUUGUCUCCCUAGCUCUAAUCACUCUCUCUCUCUCUCUCUCUAGUUAACUAAUGAUUUGGACUCUUUAUCCGACAUAAUCAUCUAUCAUAUUAUGUUUAAUUCAUAGCUUAAAUGUUUUAUACCAUUUAAGUUUCGAAAAUUAUCAUUAGCUCAUGUGGAAACUUUUUGGUACAUUGGUAGGUGGAAAAUCAAGUCAGAUGAAAUGCCAAUAGCGCAUCCUUACGUAGAGUUCAAGAGAGGCAUGCUUUUGGAGAUCGACCCAACAACUUAAAUCCAUGAAGAUUAGCUGCGUUAAUAAUGAAUCCAUCUGAUAUUGAAAUUUAAAUUAACCUUCAGAAAUUAUAAAUCUAGUGCUUUAAUUAUGUCGUAUUUUAAUUAGUUGCUUCCGUAGCAAAAUCAUGUAUGAUAUUGAUAUAUAUUACUUAGCGGUUCUUUUGAAUCUUGCUCUUUCUCUCAUGUAUAUUGUUUGAAUAAAGUUGGAGCUGACUCUAUUUUUAUGUUAAUGGUAAUGUUGGUUUGAACAAUUUUUAAAAUUAAUGGUAAUGCACUAUUGGAUUAAGUUAGUGAGUGAAGUUCUCAACUCCUUGUUUGUCGUUUACUAUCCAUUGAUGAAUGAUUGAAUUACUUACGUUACGUAUCUCUAUUUUACAUUUUUGCUGAAAAAGUUACAAAUCAAACACAUAGGACAUAACCAGAUGUAGUUAGAAAGAUAGAGGAUCCCAAGUCUAUAAUAUAGUCUCUUAACACGGAACCGAUUUAUAAUUGACUAGUGUGUCUCCCGUGUUGCGCACCAAGCAAAUCUCUUAUGUUUUUAUUUUUUAUAUUUAAAGAUAUUAAAGACAGGAUUUGAUUAACAAACUGAAAUUAGAUUAAAUACUCAUACAAGACCAUUUUACUUUCUCAGCAUCCUUACGUUUUGACUUUGUCCUUUCAGACCCUGAAGUUAUAUUAAAUACUCACAUGUAAUUUACAAAUAAGACUAAGUCUAACUUAUAUACAGCUAAAACUACAUUUAUAAAAUAACUUUGAUUAAUCAUAAGAAUAUGAGUAUACUUAAACAAACCAUUAAACUUAUCAUGUAUCUCUGAUAAACCGCAACAUAUAAACUUAUGUUAUUAGCUCACUGAAUACAAAUAUUAGUUUGGAGCUUUUGUCUUACUUCUUUAUGUCUUGUUGUUCAUGUGUUUUCCCCCUGUUCGGAAACUCGCUAGGCGCAACGCGUGCGGCUGACCUAGGUCUAGCGAGUUAACAUAAAAGCGGGAUAAACUCGGGGAUUACGCGGGGCGGAAUUUUUGAUAUAUUUAACUAUUAGAUCCAUGAAAUAUUUACUUUAGCAAAGAAGACAACAAAGUCAAUGUAGCCUAACGGUUUGGUAAGUUAUAAUGACUGCCUCAUCUUGUGUUCUAACUCCCAAAUCACUAUUUUUUAAUUUUUUCCUGUUCGUAUUUAGUGAAGGCUGGUAUCGUAAUUUCGCUUUUAUCUUCUUCCUUCACCUCCAGACCUAAUUUCACGCAACUUUUUCAUUCCUCAACAAUUUUCAUCAAAUUUUGGUAUGAUUUGCUUCGUUUCAGUUUUGUUUUCUUGUUAUAAGUAUCAAUUUAUGAUAAAUCUAUGAUAUAGACAUCGUUUCAAGUUUGAAAAGGUCAAAACAGAUUUUUUUCUUCUUACUCCGAUUUUUCUGGCCGCGUAGAGUGUAUUCGCCACGGAACUCUUCCGAUCAGCGUUGUAGCGGCGCGUAAUCGUCCACUACGGGCGCGUUUUAGAACAUGGGUUCUAUCUUUUUCCUUUUUAGCCGGAUCUUACUCUAGAUCUCUUUUCAUUAUUGAAUUAAUCACAAGUAAUUCAAAGCCAUCAUAUCCACUUUUCUUGAAUCUUCAUAGCCACAAAGAAGAAAGAUAACAUAAUGGAACUCGGCUGAUUCGUACCACUAUAUACAGGUCCAAUUUUGUAUUAUAGUAUUGAAAUUGAAAAGGAAUUAGGAGUAUAAUUUUUUCUUAAUCUAUUUACUUUUGAUCGAGACUUUGCUUCCAUUUGUCUACCGAAUUUUACAAAUAUAUAGGAGCAGGAAAAAAAGCUCGUGGAAGGAGGAUUAUGGAUAGUGGGAUACAGUUUUUGACAUUUUAAUUAUUUUUAAAUUUUGUAAAUAUAAAUUAUGUGGUAAAUUUUGAUUGGUGAAGUGACUUACAAUUUAAUAUAUAAAUGAUGUGUUUUCUUUUAAAGGUCGUUACAUGAGAACUCUAGGAAGAUAUAAUUUGGAGGGCAAGUUACCAUUAUGAACUUGAAAAAACUUUGUCGAGAAGAAGGAUUAACUUGCAUGGACUUAGACACAUUGAUUGAUAACGGCAAUUUUUACUCAAAGCAGAGUGAAUCAGCGAACACAGUAACACAUAUAUUCUUUUUACAUGAAAGAUCCGAUCAUUCUCGGAGAAACCUCAGUAAGUUAUAUCAAACUAAAUUCCCAAAAUAUAUUGUAAGAAGAAGAACAAGUAGAGAAGGGUUGUCGAUCUGAUCUCUACUCGUUAGUAGAGUUUAAUUCUUGUCUGGAUCGGUGCACGGCAAAUCGGACACACUUGAAGAUCAGGUCCACAGUCGCAGCAAGUCUUGUAUCAAAACAGAAAACGAAGUUACUUUAAUGUUUCAAUCGAUUUAGUAAAGAAGAUGAUUAACAUUAUGUUUGUAGGAUUUUACCUGAUGUCCACAACCAAAUGCCAUGUCUUUAGGAUUGCUCAAACAAAUCGGACAUAUCUGUUACAUAGAACCAAUAACAUGAACUCUCGAACCUUGGUUAUAACAUAAUUUUAAUAAAUAUAAUUUUAAUAAAUAUAAUUUUAUUUUUUUAAAGUACCCGGUUAUCAGAAGCUGAGGUUGUAGCGGGUGGCGCAGGACUAGACCUUACAGUAUAGCUUUCAGUAGGAUAAGAAGGUACACUCGGUUUAAAACUUGGAACACGAUUAGCCUUUGGCUUAUUGUAGGACGAUGCUCCACCAUGCAUUGGAGGUGGAAGAGGGAACCGUUCCGCGAUCUUCCCGUUUCUUCUUCUGCAAGAAAGAAAAGUUAACAAAGAAGAGAAAGUUGACAACUAUUAUGUUUAGAGAUUUACCCUAGAAGGCUAAGCUCUAAGGUGGCCUUGUACUGUUGAGGAAUCUCCAUGAGAGCAGAAAGAGCAAACUCUGUUUCUUUCAAGGACUGAUCUUUGUUCUUUGCCAUGAUCUCUGUGAAGUUGACGAACUAGAAACAGAACAUCACAUAAAAUGACUUUGAUCUUUGAUGUCUUUAGCUUAAAGAUCACUUACUUGGAAGUUAUCAAAGGCUCGUGCGGGGAUAUUAUCAUCAAACUCCCUCAUCAUGUCCCAUGGUCCAUCCCCAACGCCGACCAAGACGAUUGAUAGAGGAAGCUUACUGCCGUAGACAACAAAAAUCAAAUCAGAUACAAAGAGAGAGAACUUCAAACAAAGUGGAAAGAUUCAGACAAUAUUACAACCUCGCUUGCACGAUAGCAUCCACAGUCUUCAGUUCUUGUGGACUUAACUGUCCAUUUUCAGUGUCAACGCUUCUUGUAACCUGAAGUAACCCAGUCAAUAAAGGCUUCUUGUCAUUGACAAAAAAAAAAACAAUGUUCAAGAAAUAGCUAUACACUAGUUAGGCAUUUUAUAUGAGAUUAUUGAUUAGGUGGGUGCCUAAACCGAUUUUUUAAUCAAUCGUUCUGAAAAUUAUUUCGUUUAGAUCCGAUUUGCUUUGCUGAAUAGACCUAAGCCUCGCCUAGACCGAUUUUUAAUGUUCAAAAAAUAGCUAGACACAAAUUUGUCUAAUUUUUUUUUGUAUAUCUAAUACUGAUAACUUAUCACAAUCAUUUUAUUAUUAAACUCAAAAAUUAAAAUAUCUUAAAAUAAAUGUAAAAUAUAUAUAUAAUAAAUCAAUAAUUCGUUUACGCCUAGACUCCAUAAUCAGCCUAGCCUAGUUACUAAUCCUCUAUAAAGCGCCUAGUUAUAGGCUAGCGAUUUCUUAAACAUCAAAAAACAGAGGAUCAUAACAGUAGUGUUGGUACCUGACCAUCUGCUAUUAUCACUAGGACGUGAUACUGGCCACCACUCUGCUCAACAAUGGUCAUGGCCAUAUCAAUGAUCGGAGCAAACGAGGUGGGCCCUGUAACAUGUUCCAACUUAUUUCAAAUUAAGAUCUUUGUUAACAUUUAAAAGGCCCAAAAAAGGGAAAAGAAACAAAACCUGCAAGCUUAAGCUGAGGGACAAUCUCUUUAUACCGACCAAGCACUUCCUCAAACCCAUUACAGAACCUAUCCUCUGGAUUGAAACUAAACACGUCUUGAUCAUGCGUUGACGCAUCACCAAAACCAUAGCAUGGAAUCAAGUUGUCCUCGUCGAAAGCGGCUAAGGUUCUUCCUAUGAUAGCUAUGGCUUGCUCAUAAGGGUUGGAAGUGUUGCCUAUGAAGUGUAGGCUUUUCCUAUUGAAAGACCUCGCCCCUGUUAUAUCAAACAACAACACACAAUAAAGUGUAAAAAUCAUUUGAUGCAUUACACUCAAAAGACAGAAUGUUGUUGCAAUCUCAAAGACCUGUCCACUCGUUGCUCUUAGUGAAAUCAAUACCGACAAUGAGGUUUGAAGAUUCUAGACCCGCAUGAGCAAGAGCCUCUGUCACCUAAAGGAAAUAGAACAAUAAUGUGAGGCUUUUUUUUCUUUGUAAUCAUCAAGAAGCAAACUAGAGAUUCAGGUUGUCACCUGAUCCAAAGAGGAGUAAUCAUCAGAGAUUUUGGAGUACUUGCGCUCCAACCUCUUCUUGUCAUUGCCAUAACUUUGAGAAGGCGGCGGCUGAGAGUAAGGCUGAGUAGUAUAUGAAGGUGAAGGAGGUUGCACAUACUCGGGAGGUGGAGCAUAAGAAGGUGGAGGAGGAUAGGACUGAUGAGAAGCCCAUGGAGAUGAAGGUGGUGAUGAAGCUGACCUAAACGAUGAUGAAGACCGCUGUCUCCAUUUCUCCUUAGAGUUCCCUGUCCCCAUCAAACUCGAAAAAAGUAAUAACCUUUUGGAUUCAACUCAAACCCUCUCAAGGUCAAUUUAGUAACCUACAAAACAAAAGAUUCAGAAAGAUUUUGUAUUUAGAGUAUAUUGAUGAAUCCCAGAAAGAAAAAAAAGUCAGAAACUUUAUGGAAUACUAUAUAACCUGAGGAUUAGUGAAAGAGUAGUUUUUUUUCAGACAAAGCUACGAACUUUACAAUUAGUUUCACUGUCCGAACUGAACCAAGACUGAAUCUGCCGACAUUUGGCGGAAAAAAACAUAACACCAGUGACUCGUUUUUGAUCGAGGAGGAGUGUGUGAU